This is a long non-coding RNA of Oreochromis niloticus (Nile tilapia), 2210 nucleotides long. RefSeq lists it as uncharacterized. NCBI's taxonomy places the organism in Eukaryota, Metazoa, Chordata, Actinopteri, Cichliformes, Cichlidae. The record is from RefSeq and is a predicted model, not a curated record. The transcript is spliced from 4 exons.
UUUGCAAAGCUAUAUGUGGAAGGAAACCGUGACCUAGAGCAAGCUAAUGGAAUAACAUUUUUAUAGAGAGCUGGCCAGCACCCUACGCCGAGCCUGAUUUGGCCUGUGAGCCGCAAGUUGAGUAUCACUGUUACAGACCUAUUAUGAAUUACAGGGAAGUUAAUAAAUAGUGAAAAUAACAGGGUUUCUUUUAAUUAUUUCCCCAUGAUUUCAUUCUGCUAACACAAACAGGUAGCUGAGGCAAUCGUUUAAAUACUGAGAGUUUAGAAGAUGUCAGCAGUAUUUCUGAGUGUCACACUGAUGACACUUUAUUUGUCUAACACUUUAUUUCCUCCGAGGAUUUUCCCACUAUACUCUUAAAGCCGGGUGAAGAGAAGACAUACGGAAGAAGAGGCUGAAAGUCUCCUCGGAGGACAGCAGCGAUGCCUCUCUGGUGGUCCCGCUCUCAUCUCCGGGAUCUCUGGAAGCACAUUGUCUACAGCAGCAGAAGACCACACCGGGUGCCAUUCCUGUCAGCUAAGAACAGGAAGUCAAGCAAACCAAACCUGAACAACAGAGGCUUGAAAAAGAGCUGCUGGAUCUGAUGAGUCUACAUUUCUACUGUGACAAUCAGAUGUGUGUGAUCUUCUGGUGGCUGCUUCCAGCAGGAUAACAUGCCUAAGGUGUCAAAGUUCAGUCAUCUCAAACUGGUCUCUGGAACAUCACAAUGAGUUCACUGUUCUCAAAUGGCCUCUACAAUCACCAGAUUCCAAUCCAAUAGACGUUUUGGAUGUGGAUGAAUGUGAGAGGCUCAUCAUUGAUGUGGCAAAUCUGCAGCAACUGUGCGAUGCUGUCAUGUCAAUAUGAACCAAAAUCUCUAAAGAAUGUUUCAAGCACCUUUUUCAGUCGAUGCCAUGAAGAAUUAAGGGAAAAGAGUGUAUACUAGGAAUGUGUGUCUGACAGCUGGAUUUGCCACCAUUUAAAAAAAUUAUUAUUCCAAAUGUAACUUACAAAAUCAAGCUCUUACUGUAAAAAAAUGACUGUGCUGUAUUAAAAAUCUUUAGGUUUGUUUGCCAUUAAAACUGCUACUUUAGAGUUCCCAUAAACAUCUUUUUACUGUAAAAUAUAACAUCAUAUGCUUUCCAGAGACUUUACAUCACAUCUUUUCUGAACUAUAAAAGGAUAUCAGCUUUGUUGUAAUUUCCCCUCUGUCCUUGCACUUCACAGGCACUGAAACACUGCUCUAUUCAACACUAACAUUAAAAAAAAAACAAAACCCUGAAGGCGAGUGCAGAGCAGAGGUUAUUUAUCGGUACAAAGACUUAGGUCAGGUUGUGGGCCAGUGCUAGCAUAACCACACCACAGUUCACGGGAAUACAUCCACUAAAAGUCUAAAUACUAUCGUAACACUUCAUGAUUUUAACCAACGAGACUUUGUGCCCAGCAAGGAAUCAAAUACUAUAUAUAAUUAACAUUUCCAGUAGUUUUUAGUUAUUUUUCCUGCCCUCAUGGACAUAAACAUUUGCAGCAUUCAGCUGUAUUCACUAAGGACAAAGCUUGUAACGUGAUCCCCCAGAGUGCGUUUACCUGAUAGCACUUGUAGUACUUUGAAUGUUUCUGCUUGUGCAUUUUUACCAUUCAUGCAUCCACUUGAGAAACGUUUACACCAGUACAACGCAGAGAAAUCCCAGUGGAAGGGUUAAAAAUGGUGUCUUUACAGUCCUGUGCAACUGAAACGUUUUCAGUCUACAGAUGGAGUGAUGGUUUCUGUAAGACAGCUAUGAAGUGGCAGCUCUCGGACAACAGCUGCUGAAUGGCGUUUGCCACAUCGCAGAGCAGCGAGACACGAGAGAGCAAAUACCAUUGGCAUAUUUUACUGCCUUCCUCAAUGCACACAUACCACAUACUCUAUUGUUUGCUAGCAUUUUGAGUACUUUUUUUUUUUUCAUAUUUAAUCAUAUGAUGUAAAGCUGAAUUUGUGCAAUAUAAAGACAGGAUAAACCCUAGGUGCAGAAAAAACCCAACCCCUGCUUAAUUUCUUCUCAACAAAGAACAAUUUUAUUUAUCCCAUUACUGAAGAUUUUUUUAUUUUUUUGGUCAAACAUUAGAUGUGAGGUGGAGGAAAGUACACUUGGUUAGAGAGGUGACAGUGCACAGGGCAGCAGGCAGGGGGCAGCAGACGAAUGAGAGAAGGGAUGCGGUUACCGGCAAGAAAGAAACGGAACAAUGGG